RNAcentral lists this ribosomal RNA (406 nucleotides) under uncultured bacterium. RNAcentral's name for it is "partial 16S ribosomal RNA". It matches the Rfam family "Bacterial small subunit ribosomal RNA", at positions 30 to 526 of the family's 1533-position model. The record is from RNAcentral.
AUUGAACGCUGGCGGCAGGCCUAACACAUGCAAGUCGAGCGCGCGGCGGACGGGUGAGUAAUGUAUGGGGCUCUGCUCGAUAAAGGGGGAUAACUCCUGGAAACGGUGCCUAAUACCGAAUACUUUCGGCUGAACCCAUAUUGGAUUAGCUAGUAGGUGGGGUAAAGGCUCACCUAGGCGACGAUCUCUAGCUGGUCUGAGAGGAUGAUCAGCCACACUGGGACUGAGACACGGCCCAGACUCCUACGGGAGGCAGCAGUGGGGAAUAUUGCGCAAUGGGCGCAAGCCUGAUGGAGCCAUGCCGCGUGUGUGAAGAAGGCCUUAGGGUUGUAAAAUACUUUCAGCAGGGAAGCGUUACCCGCACAGGAAGCACCGGCUAACUCCGUGCCAGCAGCCGCGGUAAUAC